CAAUCCCUCCACCAAAUUCUCCCUCUCUCACUUUCCUAAGGAGAUUCAAUCUAAAACACAAGAGAAUCAUUCUAAUGAAGGAAUUGGGAACUCUAGUAAGUUUGGUACCACGGGGAGGGUAUACGAUGUAGUUCGAGAAACAAUGCACUCUGCUA
Molecule: non-coding RNA, 155 nt
Organism: Camelina sativa (false flax)
Lineage: Eukaryota; Viridiplantae; Streptophyta; Magnoliopsida; Brassicales; Brassicaceae
Source: RefSeq, a predicted model, not a curated record